UACGGAGGGUGCAAGCGUUAUCCGGAUUCACUGGGUUUAAAGGGUGCGUCGGUGGGCAGUUAAGUCAGUGGUGAAAUCUCCGGGCUCAACCCGGAAACUGCCAUUGAUACUAUCUGUCUUGAAUAUCGUGGAGGUAAGCGGAAUAUGUCAUGUAGCGGUGAAAUGCUUAGAUAUGACAUAGAACACCAAUUGCGAAGGCAGCUUACUACCCGAAUAUUGACACUGAGGCACGAAAGCGUGGGGAUCAAACAGG
This 253-nucleotide ribosomal RNA is filed under the name uncultured bacterium. RNAcentral describes it as "partial 16S ribosomal RNA". It matches the Rfam family "Bacterial small subunit ribosomal RNA", at positions 524 to 776 of the family's 1533-position model. The record is from RNAcentral.